RNAcentral lists this ribosomal RNA (253 nucleotides) under uncultured bacterium. RNAcentral describes it as "partial 16S ribosomal RNA". It matches the Rfam family "Bacterial small subunit ribosomal RNA", at positions 524 to 776 of the family's 1533-position model. The record is from RNAcentral. RNAcentral also lists the same sequence under 1 other name.
UACGUAGGGGGCGAGCGUUGUCCGGAUUUAUUGGGCGUAAAGAGCGUGUAGGCGGUUCGGUAAGUCUGUCGUGAAAUCCUGAGGCUCAACCUCGGGCGUGCGAUGGAUACUGCCGGGCUAGAGGGUGGUAGAGGCGAGUGGAAUUCCCGGUGUAGCGGUGAAAUGCGCAGAUAUCGGGAGGAACACCAGUAGCGAAGGCGGCUCGCUGGGCCACACCUGACGCUGAGACGCGAAAGCUAGGGGAGCGAACAGG